GAUGAAGAACGUAGCGAAACGCGAUAGUUAAUGUGAAUUGCAGAAUUCAGUGAAUCAUCGAGUCUUUGAACGCACAUUGCGCCCCCUGGUAUUCCGGGGGGCAUGCCCGUCCGAGCGUCAUUGCUGCCCAUCAAGCGCGGCUUGUGUGUUGGGCCGCCGUCCGCCUUCCCCCCCGGGGGGAGGGGGACGGGCCCGAAAGGCAGCGGCGGCACCGCGUCCGGUCCUCGAGCGUAUGGGGCUCUGUCACCCGCUCUGGAGGCCCGGCCGGCGCCCGCCGACCCCCAACCUUCUUCUAACCAGGUUGACCUCGGAUCAGGUAGGGAUACCCGCUGAACUUAAGCAUAUCAAUAAGCGGAGGA
This 359-nucleotide unclassified non-coding RNA is filed under the name soil metagenome. Its description in RNAcentral is "partial contains 5.8S ribosomal RNA, internal transcribed spacer 2, and large subunit ribosomal RNA". The stretch from base 1 to 120 matches the Rfam family "5.8S ribosomal RNA", at positions 35 to 154 of the family's 154-position model. The record is from RNAcentral.